ACUAUAUUAGUAUAACACAGUACAUUUAACUUCCAAUUAAAAAGUUUAUUAAAAUAUAG
RNAcentral lists this transfer RNA (59 nucleotides) under Ixodes australiensis. RNAcentral's name for it is "tRNA-Gly". The record is from RNAcentral. Lineage: Eukaryota; Metazoa; Arthropoda; Arachnida; Ixodida; Ixodidae.